Molecule: non-coding RNA, 393 nt
Organism: Ceratotherium simum simum (southern white rhinoceros)
Lineage: Eukaryota; Metazoa; Chordata; Mammalia; Perissodactyla; Rhinocerotidae
Source: the annotation of a RefSeq genome assembly
AAGAGACUUCUUGCCCCGCAGGGGAGAGCUACCAGCAUGACACUUGUUAGCUUGCUGUGGGCAGUUGUGGUCUCCACCUGUCUUGGAUCCAGCACAGCCCAGACGGUCACUCAGCCUCUACCAGAAAUGUCUGUGCAGGAGGCAGCGACUGUGACCCUGGACUGCACGUAUGACACUACUGAGAGUGAUUAUUAUUUGUUCUGGUACAAACAGCCCCCCAGUGGGGAGAUGAUUUUCAUUAUUCGCCAACAAGCUUAUAAGGAAGAGAAUGCAAUGAAUAAUCGGUUCUCUGUGAACUUCCAGAAAGCAAACAAAUUCUUCGGUCUCAGGAUCUCAGACUCCCAGCUGGAGGAUGCUGUGAUGUACUUCUGUGCUCUCAUGAGGGCACAGUGA